RNAcentral lists this transfer RNA (72 nucleotides) under Camelus bactrianus (Bactrian camel). It matches the Rfam family "tRNA". Rfam says of the family: Transfer RNA (tRNA) molecules are approximately 80 nucleotides in length. Lineage: Eukaryota; Metazoa; Chordata; Mammalia; Artiodactyla; Camelidae. RNAcentral also lists the same sequence under 1 other name. The record is from Rfam by way of RNAcentral.
GAGGGUAUAGCUCAGUGGCAGAGUAUGUGCUUAGCAUGCACAAGGUCCUGAGUUCAAUCCCCAGUACUUCCA